Pelmatolapia mariae (spotted tilapia) is the source of this 868-nucleotide long non-coding RNA. RefSeq lists it as uncharacterized. The transcript is spliced from 7 exons. The record is from RefSeq and is a predicted model, not a curated record. NCBI's taxonomy places the organism in Eukaryota, Metazoa, Chordata, Actinopteri, Cichliformes, Cichlidae.
GUCUUGUACAGUAGAGCGGGACAUUUGAUUUACUCUCAGCGGAAUUGACCGGAGAAGGCAUCAGUUCAUGCACCGCACUGGCCCGCACCACGAUUAGUAUAAGGCACAUUUCACGAAGCAGAACGCAGUCUUCAGAGAUAUCCACGUGAACGCUGUGAUACGUCUGACCUUUAGUCCGAAGAAGAAACCCAGACCAGUCUUAAAAGAAAGCACAAACCAAAUCCCCUGUACACAUAUACGGACUCAGAGGAUGAGCAGCCUACAAAAAAACGGUUUCCCCAGGCCCCUCGAGUGAAAAUACCAGCCCUCAUCACUCCGCAGUCUGCCCCCCAGCCCACUGAUAGCAACCAUCAUAAUGCCCCACCCAGCUUCCGGCACCUUUCGCCACUCCGGCACAAACCGACACAGCUUUGCGAUCUCGCCAGCAUGCAGAGUCUGAUGUCUUCCCUAUAGAUGAUUCCAGAGACUCUGUGAGGCCACUAUUGCAAGGUGAGACGCUUUGCGUUGAUUGGUGCUGCUGGACCACACUGGAGGUGCGAGUCCGCUGUGUAAUGGUUUAUGCCAUUACAAAGGAGCUGGCCUCUGUACUCAACUGGGCAGGGAAAAAAUACCAAGGGCCAGACAAAGCAAAAAAGGGCAUUUAAAGAGACAGCGCUGUGCAGAUGCAUAUUUGAUGGCCUGGCGCAGCAGGUAGGGGCGAACUCUAUGUCUGAGUUGGUCUUUGCUCAAGCAGUCCAGAAAUGGCUCAGAUAUACUCCAGGUCGUACGGGUGGCGCGCAGGACACACAUCAUCCAUCCCCAUCCCGGAGUAAAUGAUAAAAAGUGACGUGAAACAUAGAAAUGUAAAUAGGAAACUUUGUCUUUUAAU